AGCGAACGCUGGCGGCGUGCCUAACACAUGCAAGUCGAACGUGAAAGGGAGCAAUCCUGAGUAAAGUGGCGAACGGGUGAGUAACGCGUAGAUAAUCUACCCUAGAGUCUGGGAUAACCUGCCGAAAGGCGGCUAAUACUGGAUAGAGCGAGGAACUUAUAGAGGGUUUUUCGGGAAAGGGAGGAAGCAAUUCCCUUCGCUUUAGGAUGAGUUUGCGUCUCAUUAGCUAGUUGGUGGGGUAAAAGCCUACCAAGGCGAUGAUGGGUAGCUGGUCUGAGAGGAUGAUCAGCCACACUGGAACUGAAACACGGUCCAGACUCCUACGGGAGGCAGCAGUGGGGAAUCUUGCGCAAUGGACGAAAGUCUGACGCAGCCACGCCGCGUGAGUGAAGAAGGCCUUCGGGUUGUAAAGCUCUGUCGAACGGGACGAAAAGGGGUGAGGUGAAUAGCCUCAUUCUGUGACGGUACCGUUAGAGGAAGCACCGGCUAACUCCGUGCCAGCCGCCGCCGUAA
This 513-nucleotide ribosomal RNA is filed under the name uncultured bacterium. Its description in RNAcentral is "partial 16S ribosomal RNA". It matches the Rfam family "Bacterial small subunit ribosomal RNA", at positions 29 to 523 of the family's 1533-position model. The record is from RNAcentral.